UGGGGAAUAUUGGACAAUGGGCGGAAGCCUGAUCCAGCCAUGCCGCGUGUGUGAAGAAGGCCUUUUGGUUGUAAAGCACUUUAAGCGAGGAGGAGGCUACUCUAGUUAAUACCUAGAGAUAGUGGACGUUACUCGCAGAAUAAGCACCGGCUAACUCUGUGCCAGCAGCCGCGGUAAUACAGAGGGUGCGAGCGUUAAUCGGAUUUACUGGGCGUAAAGCGUGCGUAGCCGGCUGAUUAAGUCGGAUGUGAAAUCCCUGAGCUUAACUUAGGAAUUGCAUUCGAUACUGGUCAGCUAGAGUAUGGGAGAGGAUGGUAGAAUUCCAGGUGUAGCGGUGAAAUGCGUAGAGAUCUGGAGGAAUACCGAUGGCGAAGGCAGCCAUCUGGCCUAAUACUGACGCUGAGGUACGAAAGCAUGGGGAGCAAACAGGAUUAGAUACCCUGGUAGUCCAUGCCGUAAACGAUGUCUACUAGCCGUUGGGGCCUUUGAGGCUUUAGUGGCGCAGCUAACGCGAUAAGUAGACCGCCUGGGGAGUACGGUCGCAAGACUA
RNAcentral lists this ribosomal RNA (550 nucleotides) under uncultured bacterium. Its description in RNAcentral is "bacterial SSU rRNA". It matches the Rfam family "Bacterial small subunit ribosomal RNA", at positions 355 to 896 of the family's 1533-position model. The record is from RNAcentral.